AGCCUACGGGAGGCAGCAGUGAGGAAUAUUGGUCAAUGGGCUUACGCCUGAACCAGCCAAGUCGCGUGAGGGAAGACUGCCCUAUGGGUUGUAAACCUCUUUUGUCAGGGAGCAACGCCGGCUACGUGUAGCCGGACUGAGAGUACCUGAAGAAAAAGCAUCGGCUAACUCCGUGCCAGCAGCCGCGGUAAUACGGAGGAUGCGAGCGUUAUCCGGAUUUAUUGGGUUUAAAGGGUGCGUAGGCGGGUUAUCAAGUCAGCGGUACAAUCGUGGAGCUCAACUCCAUCCAGCCGUUGAAACUGAUG
RNAcentral lists this ribosomal RNA (305 nucleotides) under uncultured bacterium. RNAcentral's name for it is "bacterial SSU rRNA". It matches the Rfam family "Bacterial small subunit ribosomal RNA", at positions 335 to 638 of the family's 1533-position model. The record is from RNAcentral.